AACGUAGGAGCCAAGCGUUAUCCGAAUUCACUGGGCGUAAAGCGCGUGCAGGCGGCUGGGUAAGUUGGAUGUGAAAUCUCCUGGCUCAACUGGGAGAGGCCGUUCAAUACUACCUGGCUUGAGGGCGACAGAGGGAGGUGGAAUUCCGGGUGUAGUGGUGAAAUGCGUAGAUAUCGAGAGGAACACCAGUGGCGAAGGCGAGUCUCUAGACAACUCCUGACACUGAGGCACGAAAGCUAGGGGAGCAAACAGG
This 253-nucleotide ribosomal RNA is filed under the name uncultured bacterium. RNAcentral's name for it is "partial 16S ribosomal RNA". It matches the Rfam family "Bacterial small subunit ribosomal RNA", at positions 524 to 776 of the family's 1533-position model. The record is from RNAcentral.